This 5346-nucleotide long non-coding RNA is filed under the name Spirodela polyrhiza (greater duckweed). Its description in RNAcentral is "long non-coding RNA (SPOL_LNC000217)". The record is from RNAcentral. Lineage: Eukaryota; Viridiplantae; Streptophyta; Magnoliopsida; Alismatales; Araceae.
CUGCUUGCGUCGGGAGAUAGUGAACGACCGCGAGAGAGGGGGAAGUCAUUGCGGAGCCGUCACGCCGAGAGUCCCCCUCGUUCGAGGAGAGAACGGCGGGGAGUUGAGGACGGCGGCGGGUGGAGCAGGGUGGGGCGCGGAGGUGGUGGAGAAGGUUGGGAGCAGUGAACGGGUCUUACGCCUCCCUCCCUGCCCCUCGCCCACCUGGGAACUGGAGUCGGUCAGUUAUUGGGCAGUGAUGCAGAAAAAGGGGGAGGGAAAGGGCAAGGGGGUUCUACUGUGGCGGUGAACCCCGAAAAGCAACGGGCGGGGGGUGGAAAGAAAAACGGAGGCGGAGAAAGGAGGGGUGAGCGAGCAGGCCCUCCUCCCUUACGAAUGAGGAGAGGCAGAAAUGCUGCAUCUUUUCUUCGAUGGUAGGACGGGGUGAGGAGGAUUUCAGUUGAGGUCCUUACUCUUUGAUCGCUCUCAUCUGGGUUUGGCCCCCCCUCCUUCCCCUCUCUCUCUACCAGCGGCAGCCAGUGGCCGCCGUAAGAUCGAUCUCUCCGUCUACCCUUUUUACAUCCACACGGGAAUACUGUAGCUCGACUCUUCUCUCUCUCCUUGCCUCCUUUCCCCCGGCCUCUUUCUCUUUUCUGUCUUCUUUCCCCCCCAUUCGUCCUUUUCACAGCUGCUCGCAGCUGCGACCGGAAGUUCGAGGGAUAACAGGGGAGGGAAAAGAGUAGGCGGAGGAGAAAAGUCGGGGGAAGGGGGGAGCUGCUUUCUGUUCCUCCUCUUCCUCCUCUCACCACUACCCACUCGCCAUGGACGCGUACGAGGCCACAAGAAUAGUGCUCUCAAGGAUCCAGAGCUUGGACCCGGAGAAUGCCUCCAAGAUCAUGGGUCUCCUCCUCAUCCAGGACCAUGGCGAGAAGGAGAUGAUACGACUCGCCUUCGGCCCCGAAGCCCUCCUUCACUCGGUCGUCUUCAAAGCUCGGAAGGACCUCGGUCUCCUCCCGCCCUCCGCCCCAUCUACUCCGUCCUCCCCAUCUCCUUCCCCGUUUCUCCUCGCCCGUCAGAACUCCUCUUCUCGCCUCCUCGGCGGUGGCGGCGGCGGCGGUGGCAGCGGGCUACCCUCACCGUCCUCGUGGGCUCCGCCACCAGUCUUCUCCCGCAGCAGUAGCAACGGGAACAACGGGGUCGUCGAGGACUUGCAGAGCACGGACGACCUAAUCAUCCCCAAUUCGUCCUACGGCGUGAGUAUGCCCGUGCCCUCGCCGUCGUCCUCUUCUUCCCCUUCCCCCUUCUUCGGAGGCGAUCUCAUCGAGGAGUUCCAGCUCCAAGACCAGUUCUCCUUCCUCAACGACCCCACCGCUGCCGCCUCGUCCCCCAACUCUAUCCACGCCCUCCAGAUCGGCGGCCCAAAGAGCAACGGCGACCUUUUCUAUCCCGACAUGGUCGGGGACUGCCGGGGCCCUAGCAGCAACGGCGAAGCCAUGCUCUUCCCCUACGCCGGUAUGAACUGGGGCAUCAAUAGCAGCCACCACCGGAGGAGCCUCUCCGCCGCAGAGCGGUGCUUAAGCUCAGAAGCCGGGGCAGAUUUGGGUUGGAGGCCAUGCCUGUACUUCGCCAGGGGCUACUGCAAGAACGGGAGCACCUGCAGGUUCCUGCACGGUAUGCCCGAAGACGCGACCGCCGCCGCCGCCGCCCUGGCCAGCAGCAAGAUGGAUGCCGCGAUGGAGCAGCAGUUCCACGAACUUCUGUUGAGGUCCAAGAGCCCAAGACUCGGCGCCGCAUCUCAGCUCAUGGCGGCGGCGGCGGCCUCCUUUCCCUAUUCGCCGUCUGCCCCGUCGCCAUCAUCUGGCAAAUGCAUGAACUUUCUGCAGCAGCAGCAGAAUGAAAGCCAAAGGUCGCCUACCCUCCCUCAUUCACUACCCUCCUCGUCGUCCUUGCGCCGGAAUAUUAAUAUAUCGUCACGGGUUCUCUUCGGCAGGGUUGCUGCAGUGACGGCGGCGGCGGCGGCGGCUCUCUCGCUAGGAGGGGAGGAGCCGCACAAGUUUGGGAGAUCUAGGCUGGAGAGGGGUGACUACGCAGGGGCUGUGAAUCCGGGUUCUCGGCAGAUUUACUUGACCUUCCCGGCCGACAGCACUUUCAGAGAGGAGGACGUCGCCAACUACUUCAGGUUUGGGCUCUCGAUCAGAGGCUCUUUCCCUUCUGACGGAACGGAUCUUCCUUCUCCCUGCUCAUCAUCUCUGUUCCUGUUGUUCGUUGCCGCCGUGAAGCAUCUACGGGCCAGUCCAGGACGUGAGGAUUCCGUACCAGCAGAAGCGGAUGUUUGGAUUUGUGACUUUCGUUUACCCGGAGACGGUGAAGCUGAUUCUGGCCAAGGGGAACCCCCACUUUGUCUGCGAUGCUCGCGUCCUCGUCAAGCCCUACAAGGAGAAGGGAAAAGUCCCCGACAAGUACAGGCACUCCUACCUCCUCCAUACAUUCCACCCUCUCGCUUCCUCCCAGAACUACUCCUCUCCCCCCCCUCUCUCUCUCUCUCUCUCUCUCUCUCUCUCUCUCUCUCUACUGUGUUCCAGUGAUUAAGCUGAUUACUGUUUUUCUUGCGCAGGAAGCUACAGCAGCAACAGCAGCAGCAGCAGCAGCAGCAGCACGCAGAGAGGGGCGUCUUCUCCGGCUGCACUACUCCUACUGGGCUAGAUUCCAAGGACCCUUACGACCUACAGCUGCUUGGUGAGCUCUCCGUCAUCUCCAUGGCCGUGGCUAUCCACAUGCAUUGUUAUUACCGUAUUUUCAACAUCGCGUGUCCAUCUUUUUACGUGAGUUGCAGGCGCGAGCAUGCUGUAUAACAGCAACCAGGAGGCGCUGCUGAGGAAGAAGCUGGAGGAGCAGCAGCAGGCGGCGGAGCUCCAGCAGGCAAUUGAGCUGCAGCGGCGGCGGAUCAUGGGGCUCCAGCUGCUCGACCUCAAGGCGAGGAAUCUUUCUUCGCCCGCCGUGCCCGUUACGUCGUCGCUGCCGUCUCCGGGUCCCAUCAACACCUACUCCGCCACCACCGCCGUCUCCAGUCCCAAUGCCAAUCUUUCAUCGCCCAAUGCGCCCCCGGAGGGCAGCAGCACCGGCAGCGGUAGCAGCGCCGAAGAGCUGCUGCCACCCCCUGAAGGUAUUACUGUAGCGAGGGGAGGAUCGUUUCAAUGAUCAUCUAAGCUCCCCCUCUUCGAUAGGAGGCUCUUAGUAAAUAGUAGGCUUGUUGUGAAAGUGAAAAGCUUUCCCUUUCGCGGGCAAGUGUCUCAAUCCUGCUGCCACCGCGGUUUAAUGCAGCAACCACCACUGUCGCUGGAUCGACCGGCGCUGCAGCCGCCGCUGCCGCUGCUGCUGCAACGGCUGAGAAGAUUAACACCCACGCGUUCCUCCCGCAUUCGGCAGUCAACGCCGGCGACGGAGCUGACAAGAAGGAUCCCGCUCGCGAUGGUCGCCAUGGCGACCUCCAAGAAAGGUAAAUUUAAGUACAAGCCGAAAAUUUUAUGCCAGGCCAGUUUUAAUCUCCGCUGCACCCUCUCUCGCCUUCCAUCGGUGGGCGUCUACUUUAAAUGCAGACGGGGCGAACGAGGGGGGAUGGGUAGUGUAAAGUCAGCGUCUUUGCUUCCUUCUGUUUUCGUCAACUCUUCGAGUUUACUUACUAAGAAUGGCCAUGGUAUGGUUGACCUCGGUUUCGGCGGCAGUGCGGACCACAACCUGCCGGACAGCCCUUUUGCGUCGCCCACCAAAUGUUCCUUCGCCGGGAGUGCGUUCUCCGUCAACUCCGAACCGGCGGAGGCGGCCUCCCCCGCCGCCGGCUCCCCUAACAAUAACGUCGACGGCUGCCUCAGCAACGGUAGCAAUAACAACGGCCACCUCCUCACCUCCUCGCUGCUGGCCCCAUCCUCCACCCUGGACAUGGCUUCCUUCAACUCCUGCUUCUUCCCCAUCCCCAGGUGAGUUAUCCUGCCCCCCCCCCUCUCUCUCUCUCUCUCUCUCUCUCUCUCUCUCUNNNNNNNNNNNNNNNNNNNNNNNNNNNNNNNNNNNNNNNNNNNNNNNNNNNNNNNNNNNNNNNNNNNNNNNNNNNNNNNNNNNNNNNNNNNNNNNNNNNNCAGUCCUUCCCGGAGGUAUUCUCUCAACGAAUAAGUAAUUGUUAGAGUGCAAUGUUGAUAUAAUUCGAAGAAACAAAAAGCAAGUCUAAGUCAAAAAAAAUUACGUACGUACUUUUAUUUCUUCUAAAAUUAAAUUAAACAAAUGGAUUCGCAAAUAAAAGUGCUAAUGCCACAACCAGUCCAUAAAUUGUUAAAGCUUCCAUAAAAGCCAGACUUAGCAAUAAAGUACCUCGUAUUUUACCCUCUGCUUCUGGCUGUCUCGCAAUACCUUCUACAGCUUGACCCGCAGCAGUACCUUGACCAACCCCAGGUCCAAUAGAAGCAAGCCCUACAGCCAAUCCAGCAGCAAUAACAGAAGCGGCAGAAAUCAGUGGAUUCAUGAUAAGCUAAGCUCCUCGCAAAAGAAAUGGUUAAUGAUACAAUCAAGGAAUUAAUCAUCAGAAAUACAUGGAAAUCUCGCUUUUUGUUCUUAUCCGUGAUAGAGUUUUAGAUAAAUCUAUAUGCACAUACCAUUAUAGUUAUUACAUUUCUUUAUUCUAAACCCAUUUAUCAUUCAAUUCGUCAUUCUUUACUCUUCCACUUCCUCUUGAGUUCAGAGUUCAUCUGUUUAGUUGUUCAAUCCACAAUCACAGACAAAGCCCAAGGACUUUCUAUUGGAAUCUCCUCUAAGUGCAGUGAGCUACGAAAUAAAUAUAAGAUAUAAGAACCUCACUAUAACUAGUGAAUUUAUAAUAUCACAUAUACAUUUGUUUCUUCUAUAACGUAAACCGCUUAUUGAAAAUGAUUCUAGAAUCAUUUUUUUGAACCAUAGACGAGGGCUAGACAGACUUAUCACUAUUAUACUGAGUUUCAUUUUUAUAAGAUAAGCUAUCUUUUUUUUUAGUUUUACGUCGGAAAAGAUAACAAUUAUUAUUCAAAUUCAAAAUUUAUAAAAAAUUAUAAUAUAAUAUUAAUUUAACAAAAACAAAUAAAAUAUAAAUACAAUAUAAAUUUGUAAAUAGAAGAAGUCUAUAAUCUAGAAAUAAAUUAAAACAAAUCUUAGGAAGAGAUCAUUUAGAUCUUUUCCUAAGAUUUGUUUUAAUUUAAAUAAUAUGAUACAUCUUUGUUUCCUGCUACGAUUCUAUACCCUAUAUAAUUUUUUUUAUCUAUUAUAGUUCCUAGCCAAAUCGAUUAUAUAAAAAGGAACUCUCUAUGAACUGGGAUAAGGUUGAAAAAAAAUUUCAAAAGCUAGUCAAUG